UGCAAACUUCUUCCGCGGUCGCGGCAAAACUUGGCCGAAGAAGAAAAAUCAAAGCGGAGGGGGCGAAACCGGCAGAUCCACCGCUGCCUGCAUCCCCGGACCCGGCUGCCAGCAGGCCCCAACCCAGGAUCGCGGGACCAGAGCUCGGGAUCCCGCCAUCCCCACCCCCGAUCUCGCAAGAAGCAAAGUGCGGGCAGCCGGCGCCAAGCGGCCGGGAACAAAGCAGCCAUGCAGGCACACGCGUGCACGCAGGCGAGAGCACCUCCCCCCGCGAGCGCCCCGCAGCCGGGGGAGCGGAGGCAGCUAGAUUAAGCCUUUCUAAUGACACCAGAAAAAGAGCACAUCAGCAGACCUGUAACCCUGGUAUCGGAAAA
This is a long non-coding RNA of Gavialis gangeticus (Gharial), 374 nucleotides long. RefSeq lists it as uncharacterized. NCBI's taxonomy places the organism in Eukaryota, Metazoa, Chordata, Crocodylia, Gavialidae. The record is from RefSeq and is a predicted model, not a curated record. The transcript has 2 exons.